Molecule: long non-coding RNA, 1268 nt
Organism: Bombyx mori (domestic silkworm)
Lineage: Eukaryota; Metazoa; Arthropoda; Insecta; Lepidoptera; Bombycidae
Exons: 3
Source: RefSeq, a predicted model, not a curated record
UGCAGAUGUAUCGUGCAGCCGUGCGUGGCUGCGAAGCACGAUGUCCACCCGCGGACGGACGACGGCCAACUGACUGGCGUUCGCGCCACACAAUUACUCGUCCAAGGAAGUACUAGCCGAUGCCACAUUUUAAAAUAUUAUGUAUAAUCCGUCAUGUCUAUGGCACUACGAACACAUGGUUGCGGGAAUUAGUGACACUUCAAAGACUGCUCCUCUUUGCAUUACUUUCAAGUUUCUUGACUUACAAGAUGAAGAGACAAUCUGACCAAUGAAGAUGAUCAUAAUCAAGACGCUUUGAAUGCUUUAUAGUUUUUGUGGUCACGGAGGAUGAAAGUCGAAAAUAAUAUGAUGACAAUAAAAACCGCGAGCGGUUUAACGCUCGGCGCGGUCAUAAAACCUCCAUCUUCGGAUCCGAGAUACAUUCUUGACAAAGCUUUUACGCUCUGAGGAACCAUUUAAGAGCUAUAAAGAUCAAAAUUGAACAAUCAUCGUGUUUACUAUAAGAACGAAACAGUGAUUCGUUGGAUACGGGCGGAAGUUUAAGAGUCAGGAAACUCAUAAAGAAUUAAUACUGAAACACGUCCACAGUUUGACAGACACUGGGACUACAGAGUAUUUCUGGAUUAGUACCGUGCGGAACGUUUAGUCACCAUUUGUUUCAUCCCGACUCGAAUCGACCUUCCACAAUAUAAAGUUGACGAAUAAAGCUAUAAGCACGAUCAAUUAGCUGCCGCAAAUCUAUGAAUUUAAUAGCUAUAUAUUACAGAUUUAGGUGGGCCAUGACAACACUGACUGUUGGCAAUACGCAAAGAAAAGUCGACAUCGCAAGCAUGGAAUGAAACAUCUCUUACCGUUCACGUGUUUACAUAUCGCAUCUUUAUCCCUCAGCUCGACGAGUUCCUUUUCAAUGUUCCAUUGAGGUGAUUCCGGCUUGCUGGACACCCUGCCAACGAAACGUUUGGACACAUCAAUAAUUAUUUCAAGCUCUAUUGUUACAAAACAACCACGUACAGUUAUUCAGUGCAUGACAAAAUGUCUCUUAUUGUCUGACGUUCAAAGGUCAAUGAUCGCCUCACCACUCGAAGCUCACAACAGUCUUAGGUUCAAGACCGAGUAAACGACAAUUGAUCAUAUUUAACGUCACCGGUAAAAAAAAACAUGAUUCAUAUUUAAUUUGAACGGAAGGUACAUAAUGAAAUUUACUAACUACACAUGAAGUACAAUAAUGACUAAUUCACGUUUUAUAUGUAUAUAAGCACUGACCUAAA